This 63-nucleotide transfer RNA is filed under the name Ammothea calmani. RNAcentral's name for it is "tRNA-Thr". Lineage: Eukaryota; Metazoa; Arthropoda; Pycnogonida; Pantopoda; Ammotheidae. The record is from RNAcentral.
GUUUUAAUAGUUAAUAAUAAUAAUAAUUUUGUAAAUUAUAGUUGAAUAUUUAUUCUUAAAACU